This 497-nucleotide ribosomal RNA is filed under the name uncultured bacterium. Its description in RNAcentral is "partial 16S ribosomal RNA". It matches the Rfam family "Bacterial small subunit ribosomal RNA", at positions 28 to 507 of the family's 1533-position model. The record is from RNAcentral.
GACGAACGCUGGCGGCGUGCCUAAUACAUGCAAGUCGAGCGAACGGACGAGAAGCUUGCUUCUCUGAUGUUAGCGGCGGACGAGUGAGUAACACGUGGAUAACCUACCUAUAAGACUGGGAUAACUUCGGGAAACCGGAGCUAAUACCGGAUAAUAUUUUGAACCGCAUGGUUCAAAAGUGAAAGACGGUCUUGCUGUCACUUAUAGAUGGAUCCGCGCUGCAUUAGCUAGUUGGUAAGGUAACGGCUUACCAAGGCAACGAUGCAUAGCCGACCUGAGAGGGUGAUCGGCCACACUGGAACUGAGACACGGUCCAGACUCCUACGGGAGGCAGCAGUAGGGAAUCUUCCGCAAUGGGCGAAAGCCUGACGGAGCAACGCCGCGUGAGUGAUGAAGGUCUUCGGAUCGUAAAACUCUGUUAUUAGGGAAGAACAUAUGUGUAAGUAACUGUGCACAUCUUGACGGUACCUAAUCAGAAAGCCACGGCUAACUACGUG